GACGAACGCUGGCGGCGUGCUUAAAAACAUGCAAGUCGAACGGACUUCUCAUGAAGCUUGCGAUUGAGAAGUUAGUGGCGGACGGGUGAGUAACGCGUGGGCAACCUGCCCCUGAGCCCGGGAUAACAGUUCGAAAGGACUGCUAAGACCGGAUAUACUUGCGGUGAAGCAUUUCACUGCAAGGAAAGGGAACGCUCAGGGAUGGGCCCGCGUCCCAUUAGCUAGUUGGUGAGGUAACGGCCCACCAAGGCGACGAUGGGUAGCCGGCCUGAGAGGGUGAACGGCCAACACUGGGACUGAGACACGGCCCAGACUCCUACGGGAGGCAGCAGUUGGGAAUCUUCGGCAAUGGGCGCAAGCCUGACCGAGCAACGCCGCGUGAGUGAUGAAGGUUUUCGGAUUGUAAAGCUCUGUCUUCCGGGACGAUAAUGACGGUACCGGAGGAGGAAGCCACGGCUAACUACGUG
This 467-nucleotide ribosomal RNA is filed under the name uncultured bacterium. RNAcentral's name for it is "bacterial SSU rRNA". It matches the Rfam family "Bacterial small subunit ribosomal RNA", at positions 28 to 507 of the family's 1533-position model. The record is from RNAcentral.